This 465-nucleotide ribosomal RNA is filed under the name uncultured bacterium. RNAcentral's name for it is "partial 16S ribosomal RNA". It matches the Rfam family "Bacterial small subunit ribosomal RNA", at positions 28 to 507 of the family's 1533-position model. The record is from RNAcentral.
GACGAACGCUGGCGGCGUGCUUAACACAUGCAAGUCGAGCGAGGCCCCUCCUUCGGGAGGGUGUCCUAGCGGCGAACGGGUGAGUAACACGUGGGCAACCUGCCCUCAGCUCUGGGAUAACUCCGGGGAACCGGGGCUAAUACCGGAUACGACCUCCACGGGCAUCUGCGGAGGUGGAAAGUUUUUCGGCUGAGGAUGGGCCCGCGGCCUAUCAGCUAGUUGGUGGGGUAGUGGCCCACCAAGGCGACGACGGGUAGCCGGCCUGAGAGGGCGACCGGCCACACUGGGACUGAGACACGGCCCAGACUCCUACGGGAGGCAGCAGUGGGGAAUAUUGCGCAAUGGGCGAAAGCCUGACGCAGCGACGCCGCGUGAGGGACGAAGGCCUUCGGGUUGUAAACCUCUUUCAGCAGGGACGAAGCGAAAGUGACGGUACCUGCAGAAGAAGCACCGGCCAACUACGUG